ACUAUCCUUCCAGAAAGCUCGCUGUCCCUGUGAGCAGGAGACUGCCCCGCUGCCCGGGCACUCAGCCGACUCAGGGUGGACAGGCUGGAGGAGCCAGGCUCCUGGAGGCUCGCUGUGCUGCCCUUCCUCCAGAGGGCCCCCCCUGGAUUCUCCUAGAAAGUCUCCCAGUUAGGGGCGCCUGGGUGGCUUGGACCCCUGUGUUCACAAGAGGCACCCUGUAAGAUGAAGCCGGGGUGCUGAGCCUGAGCGGGAGUUCACUGGAAACUGUGCAUCUGGUGGGAGAGGCCCUGGAGUUGGCUCUGACCAGCCGCACCCCACCAGGCUGACUGCAGAGGACACUGCCCUACAGCGUCAGUGCCCACCCUGUCUCACUCUCUGCCACGCUUGCCCAGCCUCUGCUGGGAGGACGCACUCACCUGGCCAGUCCGAGAAUCUCCUGGGAAGGAAAGGUGAGAGCAUGAGCUUGGGGAGGAGAGCCUGGCUGCCUUCUCCCUCCCGCC
Molecule: long non-coding RNA, 500 nt
Organism: Canis lupus familiaris (dog)
Lineage: Eukaryota; Metazoa; Chordata; Mammalia; Carnivora; Canidae
Exons: 3
Source: RefSeq, a predicted model, not a curated record